UUUCCGUAGGUGAACCUGCGGAAGGAUCAUUACUAACGUAUCCACGUAUAAACCAAAACCAGUUGAAUUUUGUUCGAAAACAUAUUCGUCCGUUAGGCUGGGAAUGAGUUGAUUUGGAGAUGUUUCUAUCUAUAUGAGAGAAAAUGUACAUCUCUGGUUGACUUCGGGCCUUCACGGGCUUACCCUACCUAGUUCGCGAAUUAAAAUAUAUCAAAAACAUUAAACUCAUAUUUUAACCCAUUUCACCCUAUUCUUUUAAAUGAACUUAACCUGAAUUCAUUAGAAAUAAUGAGUUUGAAAAAAUACGAAAUUAAGAACAACUCUUAACAACGGAUAUCUUGGCUCUC
This 347-nucleotide unclassified non-coding RNA is filed under the name plant metagenome. RNAcentral's name for it is "partial contains small subunit ribosomal RNA, internal transcribed spacer 1, and 5.8S ribosomal RNA". The record is from RNAcentral.